RNAcentral lists this ribosomal RNA (151 nucleotides) under uncultured bacterium. Its description in RNAcentral is "partial 16S ribosomal RNA". It matches the Rfam family "Bacterial small subunit ribosomal RNA", at positions 624 to 774 of the family's 1533-position model. The record is from RNAcentral.
CAGCGGAAACCGGGCGGCUUGAGUGCAGAAGAGGAAAGUGGAACUCCCUGUGUAGCGGUGGAAUGCGUAGAUAUAUGGAAGAACACCAGUGGCGAAGGCGGCUGUCUGGUCUGCAACUGACGCUGAGGCUCGAAAGCAUGGGUAGCGAACA